GGUCGGCUAGCUCAGUCGGUUAGAGCAAUCGCUUGAUAAGCGAUAGGUCCCCAGUUCGAGUCUGGGGCUGACCA
RNAcentral lists this transfer RNA (74 nucleotides) under Variovorax sp. WDL1. Its description in RNAcentral is "tRNA-Ile". It matches the Rfam family "tRNA". Rfam says of the family: Transfer RNA (tRNA) molecules are approximately 80 nucleotides in length. Their secondary structure includes four short double-helical elements and three loops (D, anti-codon, and T loops). Lineage: Bacteria; Pseudomonadati; Pseudomonadota; Betaproteobacteria; Burkholderiales; Comamonadaceae. RNAcentral also lists the same sequence under 1 other name. The record is from RNAcentral.